Molecule: long non-coding RNA, 2007 nt
Organism: Dicentrarchus labrax (European seabass)
Lineage: Eukaryota; Metazoa; Chordata; Actinopteri; Moronidae
Source: Ensembl
UAUUGAUGCAGGUAAGGUGGUUGGCGAGCCUGCUGACAUUUUGGGAGGUCAUAUGUGAUAAAUCAAUAAAAUAAGUCAUUGACUUUUUUUGUUUUGUUUUUAUGUUUUGACUUCUGUGCCAUUUAAAUUUGACAAUAAAAAAAAGAUUUCAGUCAGGACCACUUCAGUCGAACUUUGAUUUCCAUCUGCGGUGAGUUAUAUUUGGAGGUAUGACUGUUCUGGGACCUCCCUGCCUUUCUAUGUGCAGCAGCAAAGACCCCAUAGAAUGAAAAACAGAAAAUUAACAUUGAUUUAAAGGUCCAGUGUGUUACAUUAAGGAGGGUUUAGUGGCAGAAAUGUAAUAUAAUAUAAAUAACUAUGUUUUCAUGAGUGUAUAAUCACCUGAAAAUAAGAAUCGUGUUUUUGUUACCUUAGAAUGAGCUGUUUUAUCAUCUAUCGAUUGGGCCUGUGUUUUUGUGUAGUUUCUCCUUUGCGGUUGGAGGGGGAGGGCGAAGUGAGGGAGCUGUAAUCUGCAACUACACUGCUAGAUGCCACUAAAUCCUACACACUGGACCUUUUGAAGUCCGACACGUGAAAAGCAGAAGCUGGGCUGGAUGCAAGUGGCAAAGCGGCCUGCAGAGGAAGCAGCCAGAGUUGCUCUGCUCCAGUUCAGGAACUGGAGAUAUGAAAGGACUCCAGCUUCUCCUGGGUGCACGCAACACAGCGGAGCAGCUAAACCGACACAGAUCAGAUCAGACCCAGCUCUGCCUCCCACUGACCCAAAUACAGACUCCCAUCAGCCACUCCUGCUCAACUGAAGCUCGGUGAAACAAGCUCGGUGUCUUAAAAUGCUUAAGACGAGCCAUAUGUGAGAGAAAACAUGUUGUCCCAGCGAGGAAUGGAGAUUUUUUCUGACAUGUUUAGGGAUUAUUAUGGAUGUGACUCUUUCCAGCACAGUUGCUAGUAAGUGUGAGGCUUAAACUUAUUGUAAACUUUAAAAGUAAAAGUUCAUCACCAAACUCAACAAAAAAGUCGGGGCAAAUUCCAGGGUCAGUUUUGCACAUGCACAUGCUUAAAGUUAACAAUAAUAUAAUAUAUAAUAUGCAAUGUCUGGUUAUACUUUCAAAAUAAAGCUUGAAGAAUAAUCAGAAUUGGUUUUAUUACCAAGUAGGUUUUCGCAUGCUAGGAAUUUGCCUUGGUAUAUUGGUGCAUAACAAUAACCAUAGAAAAAUAUAAAUAAAGAUGGAAUAGAGACAAUAAAAAGAGAUAAUAUACACAAAUAUAAAAAGAUGUGUGCAAUAUGACUGUUAUUUAAAUAAAUGGUUUAGACACAAAACUACAGGUUUUGGUAAAAAUAAGAAUGUAAUAAAUGCUCGCUAUUUAUACGACCUUACCUCAACAACACAUCCAAACAACAACAACGCCAGACUGGCUCGUCCAGAAAUGACCACAGUUCCCAUGGAACCUGGAAAACCUGGAAAACUUGUAGAAUUAGAGAAUAGUUUUCUAGUCAUUGAAACACCUGGUUGCAAAUUGAUUAAAAUGACCAAAUAUCCUGGAAAUUUGUGUAUUUUAGGUCUUUUAGUUUGAAACUCGACUGUUGAUAAGCUUUAAAGCAGGUUUUUACCAGUGAUCUUUCCAGCAUCGUGUCUUAUUUUAAGCGAAAUGUUCAUAUCUACAUGCAUACAGCUUAAUAAUAAUCGUAUUUCUUGUUGCUGUGUCUGAUAAAUACAUGCACAGUGAUGUUAAUUGUAUGCGCAAUAAACACUAACUUUUUAGAAGAUGUUUUUUUUCUGUAAAAUAAAAUAAAUUCUGCUUGAUUUGUUACUUGUGGCCAAAUUAAUGUUGUCAAUUUGCCUGAAACCACAGCUUAUAUGACCGUUUGUAAGCCAGUGCAGUCCUGUAUUGUCAAGAAAAACUCUUGGAAAAUGUUUUGUUAAAGGAGUGGGACCCCUGAUGACACUAGAGGGGUACCUACAGUAUCCUAGUUAGAAGCACAGGGCCACUGACCAAGCUGCCAGAACGGGC